AACGAACGCUGGCGGCAUGCCUAACACAUGCAAGUCGAACGAGACCUUCGGGUCUAGUGGCGCACGGGUGCGUAACGCGUGGGAACCUGCCCUUAGGUUCGGAAUAACUCCCCGAAAGGGGUGCUAAUACCGGAUAAUGUCUUCGGACCAAAGAUUUAUCGCCUUUGGAUGGGCCCGCGUUGGAUUAGCUAGUUGGUAGGGUAAAAGCCUACCAAGGCGACGAUCCAUAGCUGGUCUGAGAGGAUGAUCAGCCACACUGGGACUGAGACACGGCCCAGACUAGGAUGGGCGGGAACCGUGGGGAAGAGUGAACAGUGGGCGAAGGGCUGAUCGAGCCGUGCGGGAUGGGUGAGGAAGGCCCGAGUGUGUUAAAUCUCUGUUACCCGGGAAAAAAUUGAGCCGCCAGGACGAACAACCCCCGCCAACCCCCGUGCCAGCAGCCGAGCAACUAAGAGGACGCCCACACGCCUCACC
Molecule: ribosomal RNA, 474 nt
Filed under: uncultured bacterium
Lineage: Bacteria
Description: partial 16S ribosomal RNA
Rfam family: Bacterial small subunit ribosomal RNA
Source: RNAcentral